This 429-nucleotide ribosomal RNA is filed under the name Triticum aestivum (bread wheat). RNAcentral describes it as "partial small subunit ribosomal RNA". It matches the Rfam family "Bacterial small subunit ribosomal RNA", at positions 708 to 1316 of the family's 1533-position model. Lineage: Eukaryota; Viridiplantae; Streptophyta; Magnoliopsida; Poales; Poaceae. The record is from RNAcentral.
ACCAACGGCGAAAGCACUCUGCUGGGCCGACACUGACACUGAGAGACGAAAGCUAGGGGAGCAAAUGGGAUUAGAGACCCCAGUAGUCCUAGCCGUAAACGAUGGAUACUAGGUGCUGUGCGACUCGACCCGUGCAGUGCUGUAGCUAACGCGUUAAGUAUCCCGCCUGGGGAGUACGUUCGCAAGAAUGAAACUCAAAGGAAUUGACGGGGGCCCGCACAAGCGGUGGAGCAUGUGGUUUCUACCUAUUACUUCUUUCUUCUUUAUAGGCAGUAGCGACGAGAUCAAUUAAAGUAAAGUGGGUAUAACUUGAAUUUGUGGAGACUAUACGUACGUGAGAUACAUUAGGAAUAGAAAAAGAUUUUCUUUUUGAAUGAAUGAAAGCGCUCUUAGUUCAGUUCGGUAGAACGCGGGUCUCCAAAACCCGAU